UGCACAGAAUGACAUUUUGUGUGCGCACAGUGGGCGCGAUAAGGUCGCUAACAGUGCACAGUGCACAGUCCACAGUGGAUGAUGUUUUGAAGGUGAACUUUGUGGAUUUGGUUGCGAUUGCGAUUGCAUAAGUGGAGCAAGAGACGGAAUCGUACAAUACCAUCUAAUAGCUGGAAUAAACGCACGUAAAACGCUAGCAAAUCGCGCACAAAUAAUUAAGUAUUAGAAAUGCUGAGAAAUUCCUAGGAAAAUGCAACACGCAGCAAGCGACAGCAAAAAAAACAAAGUCGUUCCCAGUUGAGACGGGAAAAACACGGAGGCAUAUGGUUGAGUUUCAGGCCAGACUAGCUGACGUUCAGUUAGAAAUACAGCCGGACUGGAGCCAGCUGCAGUUCCUGGCAACUUCAGAACAUGGGCGUAGUCUGAAGGGGUUUACCUUUAAGAUUCUUCUCAUAAGCUUUGUUAACAGUUUACAAAAACAGCUUAGCUAGUAACAAAAAUCUAUGUAUUUGUAAUUGCUGUGAGCAGGAAAAUAAAUUAUUUGUUAUCAGCGUCUCUACUCGAAG
This is a long non-coding RNA of Drosophila innubila, 566 nucleotides long. RefSeq lists it as uncharacterized. The transcript is spliced from 2 exons. The record is from RefSeq and is a predicted model, not a curated record. NCBI's taxonomy places the organism in Eukaryota, Metazoa, Arthropoda, Insecta, Diptera, Drosophilidae.